GGUGUUCAUGGACUCGGGUGAGUACUUUCAUGUAAUUGGAUUUAGCCAGAGGAGUUUUUUAGCUGGAGUUUAUUAGGAUUUGUGUGUAAACUCUAGGGUAUAUAAAUCAUGUAUUGUAACGUAUUAUUAUGAUGGAACCAAUAUAUAACUUUUCUCCCUAAAAUCCUUCAUCUCUUUCUCUGGUUUGCAUGACGCCCUAGGUAGAGGUCAAGCAAAAUCCUAAUAUCAUCUUCUUUGGUGUAGGUUGCUGGUGUUCUCAAGUAUCUACAUCCUGAAAAUCUACACAAUAAUUUGGUAUAAGAGCCAGAUGAAGCGUGGAGAAGGAAGAAGAUGCUAGGAUUGAAGUUCUCUGUUAAAGGUAUCUUUCUCAAUCAGAUCUGUGUUGUUUGUAAUUGUGGUUUGAGAUAUCAUGAGCAGUGGGUUGAAGAUCGAUUUUGAGAAGUUUGACAGAAAGGAGAACCUCUCAAUGUGGAGGAUAAGGGUUGAGGAUUUGUUAGUUCAGCAAGAGCUGGAUCUAGCUUUGGAUGAAAAGUCAAAGGGGAUGAC
This 546-nucleotide long non-coding RNA is filed under the name Elaeis guineensis (African oil palm). RNAcentral's name for it is "long non-coding RNA (EGUI_LNC027561)". Lineage: Eukaryota; Viridiplantae; Streptophyta; Magnoliopsida; Arecales; Arecaceae. The record is from RNAcentral.